Fundulus heteroclitus (mummichog) is the source of this 783-nucleotide long non-coding RNA. RefSeq lists it as uncharacterized. The transcript is spliced from 2 exons. The record is from RefSeq and is a predicted model, not a curated record. Lineage: Eukaryota; Metazoa; Chordata; Actinopteri; Cyprinodontiformes; Fundulidae.
GACAGCCGGUGAGUAGAACGGUUGCGGCGGUGCGGGGAGAUUUUGCCCGCACACGCUCCUGUCUGGAGUGACAGCGGCGCGUGGGAUAAUAAACAAAAAUAUAUAUUUCGGCAAUCUAAGCUUUUCAAACAUGAUCUGUGUAAAAUAGUGUGAAAGAAAGGGCCUGUGUAUCGUUUCUGGCACUGGAGCUGCUAAUUGCAAUCAGCGCACCUGCGCUGCCUUCACCUCUACCGGCUUAUAAGCCCUGCGCCUCGCAGCCUCCAGUGCCAGAACGUCUCGAGCCUCACGGUGAGAACUUCCAGCCAUUUUCUGAGAAUCUGUCUGCCUGUCUGCCUGUCUGCCUGUCGACCCGUUUUGCCCCUGUUUUUUGAGCCAGCCUGAACCCCGUUGGAUUUGUCUGCCCGCCUGAGUUCUGUUCUUCAGCCUCAGUGAUUUGGACUGCCUCCCUGUGUUUCGGACCCUGCCAGCCUGUAAGUUUCUGAGAUUGCCUACUCUUUGAUUAUUGUGAUUCUGGAUUUGGAUUUGGACCUGGACCUGGACCCGUCUCUGGAUUCUCCCUCGGAAACCUCUGCUGGAUUAAACGGAUAUCCCUCCCGUCAAAGAACCGGACCGGACCUGGACAAAGAACUGGAUAACCCCUUCACGGGCCCUGCUGCUUCCUGGAAACCAGACGCUGCUAAACAAGCCGUCCUCGUGCCCCAGGAACCGCCAGAGGCUGUGUGCUGCCGCACAAACCAGGGGGGUCCGCGCCGCCACCAUCUUUAAUAAACUGUUAAAGUUUUA